CGCGGCGAUGCGGGCGGUCCGCCGCUCGCGACGACGCGAGAAGUCCACUGAACCUUAUCAUUUAGAGGAAGGAGAAGUCGUAACAAGGUUUCCGUA
RNAcentral lists this ribosomal RNA (96 nucleotides) under Philodendron fragrantissimum. Its description in RNAcentral is "partial 18S ribosomal RNA". Lineage: Eukaryota; Viridiplantae; Streptophyta; Magnoliopsida; Alismatales; Araceae. The record is from RNAcentral.